RNAcentral lists this long non-coding RNA (266 nucleotides) under Ricinus communis (castor bean). Its description in RNAcentral is "long non-coding RNA (RCOM_LNC000389)". The record is from RNAcentral. Lineage: Eukaryota; Viridiplantae; Streptophyta; Magnoliopsida; Malpighiales; Euphorbiaceae.
UCCUAACACUAUAUUUCCAUCACAUUUCUCUCCAAACCAAGAGGGUAAAGGGAAAGAAGAAAACUUCCAAACCAAUCGUUCAUAAUAACUUACGCAAAAUAAAUAAAUAAAAAAUAAAGAACCAUCCAAAACUUCAACCCCCCCGCCCUUUCUCUACUCUUUCAAACAUCAAUUCAGCUACUUCACAUGCACAGCAAUCCAAGUCUACUGUUGCUUGCACUCUGGAGGCCGCUCACCCUGCUGACCGUCCCCAGCUUGUGUCCUUC